Molecule: ribosomal RNA, 483 nt
Filed under: Pseudomonas sp. A3(2014b)
Lineage: Bacteria; Pseudomonadati; Pseudomonadota; Gammaproteobacteria; Pseudomonadales; Pseudomonadaceae
Also listed under: 1 other name
Description: bacterial SSU rRNA
Rfam family: Bacterial small subunit ribosomal RNA
Source: RNAcentral
UCUGGGCGGCAGCUACACAUGCAAGUCGAGCGGAUGACGGGAGCUUGCUCCUUGAUUCAGCGGCGGACGGGUGAGUAAUGCCUAGGAAUCUGCCUGGUAGUGGGGGACAACGUUCCGAAAGGAGCGCUAAUACCGCAUACGUCCUACGGGAGAAAGUGGGGGAUCUUCGGACCUCACGCUAUCAGAUGAGCCUAGGUCGGAUUAGCUAGUUGGUGAGGUAAAGGCUCACCAAGGCGACGAUCCGUAACUGGUCUGAGAGGAUGAUCAGUCACACUGGAACUGAGACACGGUCCAGACUCCUACGGGAGGCAGCAGUGGGGAAUAUUGGACAAUGGGCGAAAGCCUGAUCCAGCCAUGCCGCGUGUGUGAAGAAGGUCUUCGGAUUGUAAAGCACUUUAAGUUGGGAGGAAGGGCAGUAAGUUAAUACCUUGCUGUUUUGACGUUACCGACAGAAUAAGCACCGGCUAACUCUGUGCCAGCACC